Molecule: ribosomal RNA, 465 nt
Filed under: uncultured bacterium
Lineage: Bacteria
Description: partial 16S ribosomal RNA
Rfam family: Bacterial small subunit ribosomal RNA
Source: RNAcentral
CCUACGGGUGGCAGCAGUGGGGAAUAUUGCGCAAUGGGCGAAAGCCUGACGCAGCGACGCCGCGUGAGGGAUGAAGGUCUUCGGAUCGUAAACCUCUUUCAGCAGGGAAGAACGGUCACUGUGCUAAUCCUCCGUGCAUUGACGUUACCUGCAAAGGAAGCACCGGCUAACUCCGUGCCAGCAGCCGCGGUAAUACGGAGGGUGCGAGCGUUAAUCGGAAUUACUGGGCGUAAAGCGCUCGUAGGCGGUAUGUCAAGUCAGGGGUGAAAUCCCCGCGCUCAACUUGGGAACUGCAUUUGAAACUGGCAAACUGGAGUGUGGGAGAGGAUAGUGGAAUUCCAGGUGUAGGAGUGAAAUCCGUAGAUAUCUGGAGGAACAUCAGUGGCGAAGGCGACUAGCUGGAACAUAACUGACGCUGAGGAGCGAAAGCGUGGGUAGCAAACAGGAUUAGAUACCCGUGUAGUC